This 354-nucleotide unclassified non-coding RNA is filed under the name uncultured fungus. RNAcentral describes it as "sequence contains ITS1". The stretch from base 1 to 107 matches the Rfam family "5.8S ribosomal RNA", at positions 50 to 154 of the family's 154-position model. The record is from RNAcentral. Lineage: Eukaryota; Fungi.
GAAAUGCGAUACUUGGUGUGAAUUGCAGAAUCCCGUGAACCAUCGAGUUUUUGAACGCAAGUUGCGCCCCAAGCCACUAGGCCGAGGGCACGUCUGCCUAGGCGUCACACGUUGUUGCCCCUCCCAACCCCUUCGGGAGUUGGUUGGGACGGAUGAUUGCCUCCCGUGUGCUCCGUCGCGCAGUUGGCAUAAAUAACACGUCAUCGGCGGCCAACGCCGCGACAAUCGGUGGUUGUCAAACCUCGGUGUCCUGUCGCGCGCGCGUCGUCCUUGGCUUUUCCCAUCAAACGCGCGUCGAUUCGUCGGCGCUUUCAACGCGACCCUAGGUCAGGCGGGGUUACCCGCUGAAUUUAA